Molecule: long non-coding RNA, 480 nt
Organism: Oreochromis aureus
Lineage: Eukaryota; Metazoa; Chordata; Actinopteri; Cichliformes; Cichlidae
Source: Ensembl
CAAGAAGCGUGUGGAAAAACCAAGGCGCAAAAUAACUGCCCAUGAACUGAGAAAAGUCAAGCGUGCAGCUGCCAAGAUGCCACUUGCCACCAGUUUGGCCAUAUUUCAGAGCUGCAACAUCACUGGAGUGCCCAAAAGCACAAGGUGUGCAAUACUCAGAGACAUGGCCAAGGUAAGAAAGGCUGAAAGACGACCACCACUGAACAAGACACACAAGCUGAAACGUCAAGACUGGGCCAAGAAAUAUCUCAAGACUGAUUUUUCUAAGGUUUUAUGGACUGAUGAAAUGAGAGUGAGUCUUGAUGGGCCAGAUGGAUGGGCCUGUGGCUGGAUUGGUAAAGGGCAGAGAGCUCCAGUCCGACUCAGACGCCAGCAAGGUGGAGGUGGAGUACUGGUUUGGGCUGGUAUCAUCAAAGAUGAGCUUGUGGGGCCUUUUCAGGUUGAGGAUGGAGUCAAGCUCAACUCCCAGUCCUACUGCCA